This 447-nucleotide ribosomal RNA is filed under the name uncultured organism. Its description in RNAcentral is "partial 16S ribosomal RNA". It matches the Rfam family "Bacterial small subunit ribosomal RNA", at positions 334 to 797 of the family's 1533-position model. The record is from RNAcentral.
CACUCCUACGGGAGGCAGCAGUGGGGAAUCUUGCGCAAUGGGCGAAAGCCUGACGCAGCCAUGCCGCGUGAAUGAUGAAGGUCUUAGGAUUGUAAAAUUCUUUCACCGGGGACGAUAAUGACGGUACCCGGAGAAGAAGCCCCGGCUAACUUCGUGCCAGCAGCCGCGGUAAUACGAAGGGGGCUAGCGUUGCUCGGAAUUACUGGGCGUAAAGGGAGCGUAGGCGGACAUUUAAGUCAGGGGUGAAAUCCCGGGGCUCAACCUCGGAAUUGCCUUUGAUACUGGGUGUCUUGAGUAUGAGAGAGGUGUGUGGAACUCCGAGUGUAGAGGUGAAAUUCGUAGAUAUUCGGAAGAACACCAGUGGCGAAGGCGACACACUGGCUCAUUACUGACGCUGAGGCUCGAAAGCGUGGGGAGCAAACAGGAUUAGAAACCCGGGUAGUCCCA